Molecule: long non-coding RNA, 449 nt
Filed under: Mytilus galloprovincialis (Mediterranean mussel)
Lineage: Eukaryota; Metazoa; Mollusca; Bivalvia; Mytilida; Mytilidae
Source: RNAcentral
UUUAUAGGGAAAACGGUACUAUUUAUUCUGCCAUAGGCGACAAUACUAACAAUUCCUAAAUUUACCACUUUUUAUAAUAAAAACUUGGAUAAAACAGUUAUGUGUGGUGUUAGUCCUCUAUUAUUCUAUUUUAAAAAUUAAAGCCAAUUAGUAUCAUGACCAAUUUCCAACGGAGCUUGUUUAUGUUAUCCAUGCCCACCGUCAUUUUACACCAAAAAUUUGAAAUUUUGGAAGCCUUUUCGAAUAAUUCUCUAGAAAAUAUUUCAAUAGGUUUUAAAAUUUAUAUUGUAAAUUUACACACUGCAGUUAUUCAUAGAUAAUUAAAAAAAAUAUAUUGUACCCUUACAUCCAAUCACAGCGCUCCUAAUUUGACUUCCUUCACCUGCCUUGGGUACACAAAAGGCCAACCUAAUGCUGGGAAAAUGUAAUACUACCGUUUUCCCUAUAAA